Molecule: long non-coding RNA, 258 nt
Filed under: Mustela putorius furo (domestic ferret)
Lineage: Eukaryota; Metazoa; Chordata; Mammalia; Carnivora; Mustelidae
Description: lncRNA (ENSMPUG00000031861.1)
Source: RNAcentral
AUGUCCCAAAGAGUGGAUGCCCCUUCACCUGGGUCCCAGAAGGAUGAAACGAAGUUGAAGAUGACAAAUAACAUGAAGAGAAGAAAACUUCCUAUCACAUGGAGAGGAUUUAAAUUCCAGAUUGACCCUUCCUGACUCCUCUUCCAGACAACCUCCUCCAUCAAGGUAGUCCUGAAACUAAGCUGGGUAAAAAUUAACUAGUUAGCCAAACUUGCUGGGGGGAAAAUUCCAUUUACUAUAUUUAACUUAAGAAAUUAU